This 313-nucleotide signal recognition particle RNA is filed under the name Methanobacteriota archaeon. Its description in RNAcentral is "Euryarchaeota archaeon signal recognition particle sRNA". It matches the Rfam family "Archaeal signal recognition particle RNA". Lineage: Archaea; Methanobacteriati; Methanobacteriota. The record is from RNAcentral.
AUUUGGGCUAGAGGGGGAGUUGACGUGCUCUAUUUUUCACAAAUCGUUGAUAAUGGUGACUCGAAGUCCGAGGGCGGCGCAAACGAGCCUUUGGGAUUACACCAGCUGACUGCGAUGUCUCGCCCCCAAGAGAUCCAGGUUGGCGUUAGCGGAAUCCGGAGGGAUUCUGCAAGCGUCUCACGCCCGGGAACCAGGUCAGGCGCGGAAGCGAGCAGCCCGACCGGGGAUGCUGGAUGCCUUGGGACUUCGGGACGGAGAAGGCUGGUGCUGCACUCUCACUGAUGACGAGCGUCCACCGAGGACACGCCCACUA